AGAGUUUGAUCAUGGCUCAGGAUGAACGCUAGCGGCAGGCCUAAUACAUGCAAGUCGAACGGGAGCAAGUAGCAAUACUUGUUCUAGUGGCGCACGGGUGCGUAACGCGUAUGCAACCUACCUUCUAUUGGGGGAUAGCCUUCCGAAAGGAAGAUUAAUACCGCAUAAUAUCAUUUGAGGGCAUCUGAAGAUGAUUAAAGCUACGGCGAUAGAAGAUGGGCAUGCGUGACAUUAGCUAGUUGGUUGAGGUAACGGCUCACCAAGGCUACGAUGUCUAGGGGUUCUGAGAGGAUGAUCCCCCACACUGGUACUGAGAUACGGACCAGACUCCUACGGGAGGCAGCAGUAGGGAAUAUUGGGCAAUGGACGCAAGUCUGACCCAGCCAUGCCGCGUGCAGGAUGAAGGCCUUCUGGGUUGUAAACUGCUUUUAUCUAGGAAGAAAAUACUCUUGCGAGAGGAACUGACGGUACUAGAUGAAUAAGCACCGGCUAACUCCGUGCCAGCAGCCGCGGUAAUACGGAGGGUGCAAGCGUUGUCCGGAUUUAUUGGGUUUAAAGGGUGCGUAGGCGGCCCUGUAAGUCAGUGGUGAAAGCCCAUAGCUCAACUAUGGAACUGCCAUUGAUACUGCAGGGCUUGAGUACAGACGAGGUUGGCGGAAUUGAUAGUGUAGCGGUGAAAUGCAUAGAUACUAUCAAGAACACCGAUUGCGAAGGCAGCUAACUAGGCUGUAACUGACGCUGAGGCACGAAAGCGUGGGGAGCGAACAGGAUUAGAUACCCUAGUAGUCC
RNAcentral lists this ribosomal RNA (789 nucleotides) under uncultured bacterium. RNAcentral describes it as "bacterial SSU rRNA". It matches the Rfam family "Bacterial small subunit ribosomal RNA", at positions 8 to 796 of the family's 1533-position model. The record is from RNAcentral.